Molecule: ribosomal RNA, 234 nt
Filed under: Theileria annulata
Lineage: Eukaryota; Apicomplexa; Aconoidasida; Piroplasmida; Theileriidae
Description: partial 18S ribosomal RNA
Rfam family: Eukaryotic small subunit ribosomal RNA
Source: RNAcentral
ACAGGGAGGUAGUGACAAAAAAUAACAAUACGGGGCUUAAAGUCUUGUAAUUGGAAUGAUGGGAAUUUAAACCUCUUCCAGAGUAUCAAUUGGAGGGCAAAUNUGGUGCCAGCAGCCGCNGUAAUUCCAGCUCCAAUAGCGUAUAUUAAAANUGUUGCAGUUAAAAAGCUCGUAGUUGAAUUUUUGNUGCAUUGCUUGUGUCCCUCUGGGGUCUGUGCAUGUGGCUUUUUUUGG